Molecule: ribosomal RNA, 253 nt
Filed under: uncultured bacterium
Lineage: Bacteria
Description: partial 16S ribosomal RNA
Rfam family: Bacterial small subunit ribosomal RNA
Source: RNAcentral
UACGUAGGGCGCAAGCGUUGUCCGGAAUUAUUGGGCGUAAAGAGCUCGUAGGCGGCUUGUUGCGUCGGUUGUGAAAGCCCGGGGCUUAACCCCGGGUCUGCAGUCGAUACGGGCAGGCUAGAGUGUGGUAGGGGAGAUCGGAAUUCCUGGUGUAGCGGUGAAAUGCGCAGAUAUCAGGAGGAACACCGGUGGCGAAGGCGGAUCUCUGGGCCAUUACUGACGCUGAGGAGCGAAAGCGUGGGGAGCGAACGGG